GACGAACGCUGGCGGCGUGCUUAACACAUGCAAGUCGAACGAAGUGGCGAACGGGUGAGUAACGAGUAAUCAACCUGCCCAUCAGAGGGGGACAACAGUUGGAAACGACUGCUAAUACCGAAUCCUGAAGGAGGGGAAUGGGUCUGCUUAGCUAGUUGGAGGGGUAACGGCCCAACAAGGCGAUGAUCAGUAGCCGGUCUGAGAGACUGAACAGCCACAUUGGGACUGAGACACGGCCCAAACUCCGACGGGAGGCAGCAGUGGGGAAUCUUCCGCAAUGGACGAAAGUCUGACGGAGCAACGCCGCGUGAGUGAUGACGGCCUUCGGGUUGUAAAGCUCUGUUAAUCGGGACGCGGUACCGGAAUAGAAAGCCACGGCUAACUACGUGCCAGCAGCCGCGGUAAUUC
This 408-nucleotide ribosomal RNA is filed under the name uncultured bacterium. RNAcentral describes it as "partial 16S ribosomal RNA". It matches the Rfam family "Bacterial small subunit ribosomal RNA", at positions 28 to 526 of the family's 1533-position model. The record is from RNAcentral.